UGGCUCAGCGGUUAAGAGCACUGGCUGCUCUUCCAGAGGUCCUGGGUUCAAUUCCCAG
Transfer RNA from Neotoma lepida (desert woodrat), 58 nucleotides. It matches the Rfam family "tRNA", at positions 8 to 63 of the family's 71-position model. From Rfam's summary of the family: Transfer RNA (tRNA) molecules are approximately 80 nucleotides in length. Their secondary structure includes four short double-helical elements and three loops (D, anti-codon, and T loops). NCBI's taxonomy places the organism in Eukaryota, Metazoa, Chordata, Mammalia, Rodentia, Cricetidae. The record is from Rfam.